RNAcentral lists this ribosomal RNA (578 nucleotides) under uncultured bacterium. RNAcentral describes it as "bacterial SSU rRNA". It matches the Rfam family "Bacterial small subunit ribosomal RNA", at positions 338 to 916 of the family's 1533-position model. The record is from RNAcentral.
CCUACGGGAGGCAGCAGUAAGGAAUAUUGGUCAAUGGACGAAAGUCUGAACCAGCCAUGCCGCGUGAAGGAUUAAGGCCCUCUGGGUUGUAAACUUCUUUUAUCUGGGACGAAAAAAGGGUAUUCUUACUCACUUGACGGUACCAGAGGAAUAAGCACCGGCUAACUCCGUGCCAGCAGCCGCGGUAAUACGGAGGGUGCAAGCGUUAUCCGGAUUUACUGGGUUUAAAGGGUGCGUAGGUGGGCUUGUAAGUCAGUGGUGAAAUCUCCGGGCUUAACCCGGAAACUGCCAUUGAUACUAUAGGUCUUGAAUUAUCUGGAGGUAAGCGGAAUAUGUCAUGUAGCGGUGAAAUGCUUAGAUAUGACAUAGAACACCAAUUGCGAAGGCAGCUUACUACGGAUACAUUGACACUGAGGCACGAAAGCGUGGGGAUCAAACAGGAUUAGAUACCCUGGUAGUCCACGCCCUAAACGAUGGAUACUCGACAUCAGCGAUACACUGUUGGUGUCUGAGCGAAAGCAUUAAGUAUCCCACCUGGGAAGUACGAUCGCAAGAUUGAAACUCAAAUGAAUUGACGG